CGGGGUGUGGCGCAGUUGGCUANNUUGCAUGGGGUGCAAGGGGUCGAAAGUUCGAGUCUUUUCACCCCGA
This 70-nucleotide transfer RNA is filed under the name Prolixibacteraceae bacterium. Its description in RNAcentral is "tRNA-Ser". It matches the Rfam family "tRNA". From Rfam's summary of the family: Transfer RNA (tRNA) molecules are approximately 80 nucleotides in length. Their secondary structure includes four short double-helical elements and three loops (D, anti-codon, and T loops). The record is from RNAcentral. Lineage: Bacteria; Pseudomonadati; Bacteroidota; Bacteroidia; Marinilabiliales; Prolixibacteraceae.